AUUGAACGCUGGCGGCAUGCCUUACACAUGCAAGUCGAACGGUAACAGGUCUUCGGAUGCUGACGAGUGGCGAACGGGUGAGUAAUACAUCGGAACGUGCCCGAGAGUGGGGGAUAACGAAGCGAAAGCUUUGCUAAUACCGCAUACGAUCUCAGGAUGAAAGCAGGGGACCGCAAGGCCUUGCGCUCACGGAGCGGCCGAUGGCAGAUUAGGUAGUUGGUGGGAUAAAAGCUUACCAAGCCGACGAUCUGUAGCUGGUCUGAGAGGACGACCAGCCACACUGGGACUGAGACACGGCCCAGACUCCUACGGGAGGCAGCAGUGGGGGAAUUUUGGACAAUGGGCGCAAGCCUGAUCCAGCCAUGCCGCGUGCAGGAUGAAGGCCUUCGGGUCGUAAAGCUCUUUGUAUCAGGGAUGAUAAUGACAGUACCUGAAAAACAAGCCACGGCUAACUAACGUGCCAGCA
This 466-nucleotide ribosomal RNA is filed under the name uncultured bacterium. RNAcentral describes it as "bacterial SSU rRNA". It matches the Rfam family "Bacterial small subunit ribosomal RNA", at positions 30 to 513 of the family's 1533-position model. The record is from RNAcentral.